Molecule: unclassified non-coding RNA, 215 nt
Filed under: fungal sp.
Lineage: Eukaryota; Fungi
Description: partial internal transcribed spacer region
Rfam family: Eukaryotic small subunit ribosomal RNA (bases 1-46)
Source: RNAcentral
AAGGCGUAACAAGGUUUCCGUAGGUGAACCUGCGGAAGGAUCAUUAACACGUAUCCAAACGUUAAAACAACCCUGUGAAUAUUGAAUCUCAGUUCCCAGGGCAGAAAAAUGGGCUUCCUUCAUUCAGGUUGAACAUGAUGCAUGUCUACCGCGCCCGACGAAAGUCCGACGCACCCCUAACCGAACAACUGUUAACAAUGGAUAUCUUGGUGCUC